RNAcentral lists this ribosomal RNA (469 nucleotides) under uncultured bacterium. RNAcentral's name for it is "bacterial SSU rRNA". It matches the Rfam family "Bacterial small subunit ribosomal RNA", at positions 30 to 494 of the family's 1533-position model. The record is from RNAcentral.
AUUGAACGCUGGCGGCAGGCCUAACACAUGCAAGUCGAGCGGUAACAUUUCUAGCUUGCUAGAAGAUGACGAGCGGCGGACGGGUGAGUAAUGCUUGGGAACAUGCCUUGAGGUGGGGACAACCGUUGGAAACGACGGCUAAUACCGCAUAAUCUCUACGGAGCAAAGGGGGCUUUAGGCUCUCGCCUUUAGAUUGGCCCAAGUGGGAUUAGCUAGUUGGUGAGGUAAUGGCUCACCAAGGCGACGAUCCCUAGCUGGUUUGAGAGGAUGAUCAGCCACACUGGAACUGAGACACGGUCCAGACUCCUACGGGAGGCAGCAGUGGGGAAUAUUGCACAAUGGGCGCAAGCCUGAUGCAGCCAUGCCGCGUGUGUGAAGAAGGCCUUCGGGUUUGUAAAGCACUUUCAGUCAGGAGGAAAGGUUAGAGUUAAUACCUGCUAGCUGUGACGUUACUGACAGAAGAAGCACC